GCAGCUGGAGCUAGGGAAACAGACCAGGCAGGCCAAUAUCAAAAGUCAGCAUGAUGCUGGGGGUUCACAAACAGGAGUCAGUUCAAGCUGGAAUAUAACUCAGCAGAGCGGUCUGGACAAGCUGUGGGUCAAAAACAAGGAGCACUACCUGGGCUGUUGUGGUGUGAGUCAAGAGGCCAGGACAGAAGGGGUUAAAUCAGGUCCAGAUCAACCCUGCUCAGUCUUCAGAAAACAACAGAAAGCAAAGGCAAUAGCUCCGCUGGACAGAGGCAGCCAGAGCAUGACUGAGAGGCUGGGAGGAGAGGUUCAUCAUUUUCAAUAUGAAUAUUAUCCUGCUCGUGGAAUAUGGCUAUCACUCUGCAACAGAAAAGUUGCUGAAAAUAUGAAAUUGUGGAUCUUCCAUCUGCACAUGGAGUCUGUGGAAUUCACAAGUGACAGCCUUAAAAAUGGAAAUGAAACUAUGGCCAAAGCAGGACACAGAAGAUAAAGUGGGAAAGGAGCUUCAUAUGCACUGAGACCAAGAGACUAAAUGAUAUUUCAUCAAAGCUUAUUAAAAAUUUUUAAAUGAUCAAAGGUGCUCUAAGAGAAAUGUAAAAUCAGAAUAUUUUUGAAAGAUGUAUCAGUCACCUAAAAAGAGCAAAAGUAAUUGAUCAACAGUCUACAAUAUGUCAAGAAAAAUAGAGGAAGGCCCCCUGAGCAUAUUGUUCUUAUCCCCUUUGUGAAUUUCCAGGAGGAUGUAAAUGGAAAUUAUAUUGUAUGAGCAGGCAUGAAUGAAUUGCAAUAUGCAUCACAAUAAGGAAUAAUCACAAAAGACCAUUGAUGACUGAAUUAGAGGAAAAGUAAUUGGAAUUGAAAAUAAUAAUACAUAUUAAUUAUAUCUGGAGAAAUAUUAUUUUAUUCAAUAGCUCAAGGUACGAAAAAAACAGUUUUAUUUGCUGUAAAAAAAAAAAAACAAACAAGCAAGGAAGAACCUGUUUGUAUUUUCUUGUAUGGAUAGUAGCAAGGAACAUUUCAUUACAGAUAUAUUCCAGUGGCCAUUUUACCUUAAUCCUAGUCAUCACCAAUUAUUAGCAUAAAAAUAGAUUAUUUUAUUCAAUUUACAGGUCAACACAGCAUUCUCUUAUCAAGAAGAGAUUUGGUUUUCAAAAAUUAUUCUUUUAUGUCUAUGUA
RNAcentral lists this long non-coding RNA (1170 nucleotides) under Monodelphis domestica (gray short-tailed opossum). Its description in RNAcentral is "lncRNA (ENSMODG00000037199.1)". Lineage: Eukaryota; Metazoa; Chordata; Mammalia; Didelphimorphia; Didelphidae. The record is from RNAcentral.